GAUGAACGCUAGCGGCAGGCCUAACACAUGCAAGUCGAGGGGCAGCGCGGUGUAGCAAUACACUGGCGGCGACCGGCGCACGGGUGAGUAACGCGUAUGCAACCUGCCCUCCGCAGGGGGAUAGCCCGCCGAAAGGCGGAUUAAUACCCCAUCGACCUGGGGCCCGCAUCGGGGGCCCCGGGUAAAAGGAGCGAUCCGGCGGGGGAUGGGCAUGCGUGCCAUUAGCUAGCUGGCGGGGUAACGGCCCACCAGGGCGACGAUGGCUAGGGGGUCUGAGAGGAUGGUCCCCCACACUGGUACUGAGACACGGACCAGACUCCUACGGGAGGCAGCAGUGAGGAAUAUGGUCAAUGGGCGGAAGCCUGAACCAGCCAUGCCGCGUG
RNAcentral lists this ribosomal RNA (383 nucleotides) under uncultured bacterium. Its description in RNAcentral is "bacterial SSU rRNA". It matches the Rfam family "Bacterial small subunit ribosomal RNA", at positions 28 to 403 of the family's 1533-position model. The record is from RNAcentral.